Sarcophilus harrisii (Tasmanian devil) is the source of this 107-nucleotide small nuclear RNA. NCBI's taxonomy places the organism in Eukaryota, Metazoa, Chordata, Mammalia, Dasyuromorphia, Dasyuridae. The record is from Ensembl.
GUGCUUGUUUUAGCACCACACCUACUAAAAUUGGAACAUUACAGGGAAGAUUAGAAUGGCCCCUAUGCAAAAAUGAGACACAAAUUCAUGAAGCAUUCCAUAUUUUU